Molecule: ribosomal RNA, 446 nt
Filed under: uncultured bacterium
Lineage: Bacteria
Description: bacterial SSU rRNA
Rfam family: Bacterial small subunit ribosomal RNA
Source: RNAcentral
AGCCAGACUCCUACGGGAGGCAGCAGUGGGGAAUAUUGCGCAAUGGGCGAAAGCCUGACGCAGCGACGCCGCGUGAGGGAAGACGGUCUUCGGAUUGUAAACCUCUGUCUUUGGGGAAGAAAAUGACGGUACCCAAAGAGGAAGCACCGGCUAAAUACGUGCCAGCAGCCGCGGUAAUACGUAUGGUGCGAGCGUUGUCCGGAUUUACUGGGCGUGAAGGGGGCGCAGGCGGCGCGCCAAGCCCGAUGUGAAAGCCCGGGGCUCAACCCCGGGACUGCAUUGGGAACUGGCGUGCUGGAGUGCCGGAGGGGCAGGCGGAAUUCCUGGUGUAGCGGUGAAAUGCGUAGAUAUCAGGAGGAACACCGGUGGCGAAGGCGGCCUGCUGGACGGAUACUGACGCUGAGGCCCGAAAGCGUGGGGAGCAAACAGGAUUAGAUACCCUCGUA